CAGUUCGGACUGCAGGCUGCAACCCGCCUGCACGAAGCCGGAGUUGCUAGUAAUCGCGAAUCAGAAUGUCGCGGUGAAUGCGUUCCCGGGUCUUGUACACACCGCCCGUCACACCAUGGAAGUUGGGGGUGCCCAAAGCCGGCAAGCAAAUAUGCUGUCUAAGGCAAAACCAAUGACUGGGGUGAAGUCGUAACAAGGUAGC
RNAcentral lists this ribosomal RNA (202 nucleotides) under uncultured bacterium. Its description in RNAcentral is "partial 16S ribosomal RNA". It matches the Rfam family "Bacterial small subunit ribosomal RNA", at positions 1289 to 1500 of the family's 1533-position model. The record is from RNAcentral.